AGGAAGGAAUCAGAAUAUCCAGAUGCCAUGGUCUGAAGAGAGGUGAUUUCUAGGUGUCAAAUGCUGCAUCCAACCACUUUCUCAAAUGCCUUCUCUGGCUGCAAAUGGAAGAUUUGAAAUUGGAUCAUUUAAACAGGGACUGACAAAAGAGAUGUGAGACAUGUCCCAAAAGGCAUCCGUGACAAGGCCUGGGGAGAAUGCCCCCUGGAUAAUCUCACUGGCUGCCAAACCUGAGAACUGGAUUCAAUCCUGGGGACCCUUGUGGUUGAAGGAGAAAAACAACUUUCACUAGUUAUUCUCGGACCAACACUGGGGCUCCAUGAACACAAGUCUGAGGUCAGAGGAUUCCAUGAAGAGUUCAGAGCAUGAGUAGCUACAACUCGUUUGCUUCACAAGGAGUUUAAAAAUGUAUGACAAUACAAAAUGUUCAUCCCAAUUACACAUUUUCUUUGAUUAGCACAAUAUACAAUAUCCAAGUCCUCUCAUGUACU
This is a long non-coding RNA of Mus musculus (house mouse), 491 nucleotides long. RefSeq annotates it as predicted gene, 39811. The record is from RefSeq and is a predicted model, not a curated record. The transcript is spliced from 3 exons. NCBI's taxonomy places the organism in Eukaryota, Metazoa, Chordata, Mammalia, Rodentia, Muridae.